AUCUUUAAAGCUUAAAGCUUUUCACUUACACUGAAAAAAAUCUAACUUAAUAAC
RNAcentral lists this transfer RNA (54 nucleotides) under Parachtes ignavus. RNAcentral describes it as "tRNA-Val". Lineage: Eukaryota; Metazoa; Arthropoda; Arachnida; Araneae; Dysderidae. The record is from RNAcentral.